GGGUCAGUAGGUUGGUCGUGCCACCGGUACGUACUGGUCUCACUGAUUCCUCCUUCCUGAAGAACCGUAAUGCCAUUAAUUUGGUGUCGCGGGGAAACAGGACCGUUACUUUGAAAAAAUUAGAGUGUUUAAAGCAAGCUAACGCUUGAAUACAUUAGCAUGGAAUAAUGAAAUAGGACGAUCGAUCCUAUUUUGUUGGUUUCUAGGAUUGACGUA
This 216-nucleotide ribosomal RNA is filed under the name Glomeromycotina sp. RNAcentral describes it as "partial small subunit ribosomal RNA". The stretch from base 44 to 216 matches the Rfam family "Eukaryotic small subunit ribosomal RNA", at positions 690 to 864 of the family's 1831-position model. Lineage: Eukaryota; Fungi; Glomeromycota. The record is from RNAcentral.